GUCUACAACCAUGCUACCUUGAACUUGCCAGAUCCUAUCUGAUUUUGGAAGUUAAGCAGGGUCGGGCCUGGUUAGUACUUGGAUGGGAGACCAUCUAGGAAGGCCAUCUAUUUCAUUUA
Molecule: ribosomal RNA, 119 nt
Filed under: Pteropus vampyrus (large flying fox)
Lineage: Eukaryota; Metazoa; Chordata; Mammalia; Chiroptera; Pteropodidae
Source: RNAcentral